RNAcentral lists this ribosomal RNA (497 nucleotides) under uncultured bacterium. RNAcentral describes it as "partial 16S ribosomal RNA". It matches the Rfam family "Bacterial small subunit ribosomal RNA", at positions 28 to 507 of the family's 1533-position model. The record is from RNAcentral.
GAUGAACGCUGGCGGCGUGCCUAAUACAUGCAAGUCGAGCGAACGGACGAGAAGCUUGCUUCUCUGAUGUUAGCGGCGGACGGGUGAGUAACACGUGGAUAAUCUACCUAUAAGACUGGGAUAACUUCGGGAAACCGGAGCUAAUACCGGAUAAUAUUUUGAACCGCAUGGUUCAAAAGUGAAAGACGGUCUUGCUGUCACUUAUAGAUGGAUCCGCGCUGCAUUAGCUAGUUGGUAAGGUAACGGCUUACCAAGGCAACGAUGCAUAGCCGACCUGAGAGGGUGAUCGGCCACACUGGAACUGAGACACGGUCCAGACUCCUACGGGAGGCAGUAGUAGGGAAUCUUCCGCAAUGGGCGAAAGCCUGACGGAGCAACGCCGCGUGAGUGAUGAAGGUCUUCGGAUCGUAAAACUCUGUUAUUAGGGAAGAACAUAUGUGUAAGUAACUGUGCACAUCUUGACGGUACCUAAUCAGAAAGCCACGGCUAACUACGUG